This is a transfer RNA of 84 nucleotides. It matches the Rfam family "tRNA". From Rfam's summary of the family: Transfer RNA (tRNA) molecules are approximately 80 nucleotides in length. Their secondary structure includes four short double-helical elements and three loops (D, anti-codon, and T loops). Further hydrogen bonds mediate the characteristic L-shaped molecular structure. tRNAs have two regions of fundamental functional importance: the anti-codon, which is responsible for specific mRNA codon recognition, and the 3' end, to which the tRNAs corresponding amino acid is attached (by aminoacyl-tRNA synthetases). tRNAs cope with the degeneracy of the genetic code in two manners: having more than one tRNA (with a specific anti-codon) for a particular amino acid; and 'wobble' base-pairing, i.e. permitting non-standard base-pairing at the 3rd anti-codon position. The record is from Rfam.
GCCCGGGUGGUGAAAUCGGUAGACACAAGGGAUUUAAAAUCCCUCGGCGUUCGCGCUGUGCGGGUUCAAGUCCCGCCCCGGGCA